AAGAAAGUAAGAAAGGGCGUAUGGCGGAUGCCUAGGCUCACGGAGGCGAUGAAGGACGUGAUAAGCUGCGAUAAGCUUCGGGUAGGUGCAAAUAACCUUUGAUCCGGAGAUUUCCGAAUGGGACAACCUAGCCGUCUGAAGGACGGUUACUCAAUCUUCAAGAUUGAGAGCUAACGCAGGGAACUGAAACAUCUUAGUACCUGCAGGAAGAGAAAAUAAAUGAAUGAUUCCCCCAGUAGUGGCGAGCGAACGGGGAACAGCCCAAACCAGUGGCGUCGCAAGGCGUGGCUGGGGUUGUAGGACCGCGACAUUGUAUGCAAAUC
Molecule: ribosomal RNA, 323 nt
Filed under: Segatella copri
Lineage: Bacteria; Pseudomonadati; Bacteroidota; Bacteroidia; Bacteroidales; Prevotellaceae
Description: partial 23S ribosomal RNA
Rfam family: Bacterial large subunit ribosomal RNA
Source: RNAcentral